Molecule: long non-coding RNA, 1268 nt
Organism: Lagopus leucura (white-tailed ptarmigan)
Lineage: Eukaryota; Metazoa; Chordata; Aves; Galliformes; Phasianidae
Exons: 5
Source: RefSeq, a predicted model, not a curated record
AUGGCCACUCUUGCCCUGCCUGAUGGAACGGUCAGUCGAUGCUGUCCCUGAGGAGCCAUGCCCUGCCUUAGGUUUCCCAGACAGUCCUCUGAAAGGCUGGACAACCACUGCUUACAAAUAAAAGAGAACUUCUGGGAGGAAUCGCAAGAAACAAAUCAGUAAAGAGAAUGCAGUUGAUUGGAGAUAAGUCAGAUGUGUUUUUCACUUUAUCCUCUGGUGUAUAUGCCAAUGCAGACAAUGUCCCAUGACUGUAAUUGUCACUCAGCUGUCUGUCAGUGAUGAGAAGAAAAGGGUGACAGCCUUGACAUCCCACCAAUCAUUCCUCUGGAAAAUUGAUAUCGUCCUCCCCAGUAAACAACAGCUAAAUAAUCGACCAGCCUUGCCAGCACAUCCCUGAACAAUCAGCUUCCAUUAAGGGCAGAAGCCACACAUUUAUCCCACCGUACUCCAAUCAAUAGUACACUGACUUGUUCUAUGUUCAAGCAUGCCACUGCUCAAGGUCUGCAUUUAGCAAAGGCUACCUUUCAAGUCUUUCAAACUUAAAUGUACAGUGGAGCUUUUGGGGAUUGUUUCAUUACCACCCACAACUGGCUUGGAUCCGUGAGGGAACACACCUGCUCUCAUUAGGCCCACGUGAUGUCUGCCAAUAACAGUAUUUCCAUGAAGAUGAAUGUCCUGGAAACUAUCUUUAUCUCCCUGCUGAUGGACUUUACUGCCUCCUCCCUCUUUGGGGAGGUAAGGCAUAGGCAAUCUGCUGAUUACUUCUUGAGUUACUGAUCUGUUCUGAUGACUGUUUCAUAGUUACGGACUUCCAGUGUACUCACAGCGACUCUCUUCCAUUAGGUAGCCUAUGUAAUCUUCCUCUAAUGUUUAUUAUUUCUGACUGCAGAUUAAUUCCUUACACUAAGUAGUCUUCAAAAAGCUAACUGAACACUAAGCUAGAGGUAUUUGCAUACAGAACAAUUCUGUUCACUAUUGAGUUUUUCCAUAUUUAGCAUUAUGAAUCCAUAAUAUCAAAACAGAAACUAUUGUUACUGUUAUGUAUAGCAUAUAGAAUACGUGUUGAAUGUGCAUUAGUAACUGUAAAUAAACUCAGCACAAUGUUACUAAGUUUACUGACAUUAUGCACAUCCAAAUGUUCUGGUCAAACCAUACAUAACUUUACAGAGCAGCUACCAUACCUACUACUGAGGUAGUAGAUGGAUAGAAUUUAAAAUAUCUUGAUUUUCCUGUUCCAGUAGAAUUCAAAUAAAUAUUUCAUCAUAACA